This 120-nucleotide ribosomal RNA is filed under the name uncultured bacterium. Its description in RNAcentral is "partial 16S ribosomal RNA". It matches the Rfam family "Bacterial small subunit ribosomal RNA", at positions 29 to 146 of the family's 1533-position model. The record is from RNAcentral.
AGCGAACGCUGGCGGCGUGCCUAACACAUGCAAGUCGAGCGAACCGUUUGGGGAAACUCGGACGGUUAGCGGCGGACGGGUGAGUAACACGUGGGUAACCCACCUAGGGGACCGGGAUAA